Molecule: ribosomal RNA, 1372 nt
Filed under: uncultured bacterium
Lineage: Bacteria
Description: bacterial SSU rRNA
Rfam family: Bacterial small subunit ribosomal RNA
Source: RNAcentral
GAUGAACGCUGGCGGCGUGCCUAAUACAUGCAAGUCGAGCGAACGGACGAGAAGCUUGCUUCUCUGAUGUUAGCGGCGGACGGGUGAGUAACACGUGGAUAACCUACCUAUAAGACUGCGAUAACUUCGGGAAACCGGAGCUAAUACCGGAUAAUAUUUUGAACCGCAUGGUUCAAAAGUGAAAGACGGUCUUGCUGUCACUUAUAGAUGGAUCCGCGCUGCAUUAGCUAGUUGGUAAGGUAACGGCUUACCAAGGCAACGAUGCAUAGCCGACCUGAGAGGGUGAUCGGCCACACUGGAACUGAGACACGGUCCAGACUCCUACGGGAGGCAGCAGUAGGGAAUCUUCCGCAAUGGGCGAAAGCCUGACGGAGCAACGCCGCGUGAGUGAUGAAGGUCUUCGGAUCGUAAAACUCUGUUAUUAGGGAAGAACAUAUGUGUAAGUAACUGUGCACAUCUUGACGGUACCUAAUCAGAAAGCCACGGCUAACUACGUGCCAGCAGCCGCGGUAAUACGUAGGUGGCAAGCGUUAUCCGGAAUUAUUGGGCGUAAAGCGCGCGUAGGCGGUUUUUUAAGUCUGAUGUGAAAGCCCACGGCUCAACCGUGGAGGGUCAUUGGAAACUGGAAAACUUGAGUGCAGAAGAGGAAAGUGGAAUUCCAUGUGUAGCGGUGAAAUGCGCAGAGAUAUGGAGGAACACCAGUGGCGAAGGCGACUUUCUGGUCUGUAACUGACGCUGAUGUGCGAAAGCGUGGGGAUCAAACAGGAUUAGAUACCCUGGUAGUCCACGCCGUAAACGAUGAGUGCUAAGUGUUAGGGGGUUUCCGCCCCUUAGUGCUGCAGCUAACGCAUUAAGCACUCCGCCUGGGGAGUACGACCGCAAGGUUGAAACUCAAAGGAAUUGACGGGGACCCGCACAAGCGGUGGAGCAUGUGGUUUAAUUCGAAGCAACGCGAAGAACCUUACCAAAUCUUGACAUCCUUUGACAACUCUAGAGAUAGAGCUUUCCCCUUCGGGGGACAAAGUGACAGGUGGUGCAUGGUUGUCGUCAGCUCGUGUCGUGAGAUGUUGGGUUAAGUCCCGCAACGAGCGCAACCCUUAAGCUUAGUUGCCAUCAUUAAGUUGGGCACUCUAAGUUGACUGCCGGUGACAAACCGGAGGAAGGUGGGGAUGACGUCAAAUCAUCAUGCCCCUUAUGAUUUGGGCUACACACGUGCUACAAUGGACAAUACAAAGGGCAGCGAAACCGUGAGGUCAAGCAAAUCCCAUAAAGUUGUUCUCAGUUCGGAUUGUAGUCUGCAACUCGACUACAUGAAGCUGGAAUCGCUAGUAAUCGUAGAUCAGCAUGCUACGGUGAAUACGUUCCCGGGUCU